RNAcentral lists this unclassified non-coding RNA (235 nucleotides) under Hevea brasiliensis (rubber tree). The record is from RNAcentral. Lineage: Eukaryota; Viridiplantae; Streptophyta; Magnoliopsida; Malpighiales; Euphorbiaceae.
GCAACCCUCUUCUAUUAUAGGUAAAGAGACGGAUAAAGCAGCAGAGUAAGCUGCUUGGGGCUGAAGUGAUCAGAAUUUUUGUAUUACUACCAAGUAUAUAAAUUAUGCCCUUGUAAAUUGUUGUUUUGAUAUAUAUAUGUAACUGUAUGUAUGUACAUAAGACAUGAGCAGUUGUAAAACAAAAUUUUGAAACUUUUUUGUUGAUGAAUGUAAAUUCUUGUAAUAUGAAACUGUU